CAGCAAAGGAAGAAGAAAAAGAAGGAAAGAAGGAAGAGAAGAAGGGCUAAAGUUUUGAGGGGCUGGCACAUGCUACUGCUGCUUUCCUAUUGUUCCUGCUACAUACUUGUUGCUGUUGUAGAGUAGAGGAAGAUGAAAGCAAAGAAGCUACUGUAUAGGGCUGCUGUCCAUGCUUUGAGCAAGCAAAGUGAGAGGUGCAUGAGCUGUCUAAGCUGAACUCCAACUGCUGCUACAUACUUGUUGCUGUACCUGUACCAUUAGGAAGAUAAACUAAUCGGGCGAGGACACGAAGUUGAUUUCGAGGAUCCUAUCGCACUUGUGAUUCAGGUUUUGAGGAAAUUUCCCAAAUAUCAAAGCAUACCCAUCCCCAAGAUGAUUUGCAACUGCGAAAGCACAAUUGCACCACUAGGGCAAAUCUUAAUCUUUUACAUGAAUCUAAACAUGAGGGUGAAGAUGAGCUCACCCCCUUGUGGAUUCUCCUUUUUCAAAUGGUGGAACCGGAGUUCAAGGGGGACAGGAUAUCACUAAUGUUUGUAAGGCUGUGUCUGCGAGACUCUGUGGAUACAGAUGGAUGUUCACCUCUUAUUUAUGGUUUUAUAUUUACAUAAGAUGUAUUAUGUAAAUAUUUAUUUGGCUAUGGGAUUAUUCACUUUUGGGCAUGUAAAAUCUAAUUAUCAUUGUAGAGAAGUCACCAUCAGUAUUAUAUUGUUAAGAACUUUUUAUAUA
Long non-coding RNA from Macadamia integrifolia, 726 nucleotides. RefSeq lists it as uncharacterized. The transcript has 4 exons. The record is from RefSeq and is a predicted model, not a curated record. Lineage: Eukaryota; Viridiplantae; Streptophyta; Magnoliopsida; Proteales; Proteaceae.